GAUGCUUUGCCUCGCCUCUCGCUGUGUGCCUGUAUGCCUGUGUGCGCGCGCGUGCUCGCUCGGGCAUCCGUGUCUAGCCGAGGGGAGGGGGUGGCGUGUGAGUGCGUGGAGGGUAAAAGCCAGUCAGUCAGUGAGAAGCAAAGAUCAACUACCUCAGAAGAACCAGAUUCCACUUCUGUGGCCAGGACUUUUAUGUUAUGGCUGGUCCGAUUGUUUUACCCUGCGUUCUAUGCUACUAAACCUUGGAUAAUUCCUAAAGUACAAAUUCUGUUCUCGAACCACAAACAAGGCUAAAAGAUCGGAGGAAAUUCAGUGAAUAUACAGGAUUGGGGUUGUGUAUUUUCAAAAGUACUGAGCUUUAUAAUUCAAUUAUUCAAGAAGUAGAAUCAUGUUUUUUUUUUUUUUUAUGAUGCUGCCAGCAUUUUAAAUUACAUGUUUAUUAAGUGGCAUUGCUCAAAUAACUACAGAGUAUGCGUGGAAAUAUUUGCUGUCUGAAUAGUGUGGAGAUUCAAAGAGAAAAAUCAAGCUUCAGAGGUGUCUGAUGAUUUGUGAGCAUCAAGUGACUACUCUGUGGAAUCCUCUGUCCUUGCCUUUGAAUUAGCUUUCCCUAGGCCAUGAGUCAACAUUAGUAGUUUAUACAUCCAUAUUGUGUUGACUUCAUUCUCAGAUGACAAGAGCACCUCAAAGAUAGCAGCCUCAAGGAGUAGCCAUGGCCCCAGAGUUGUCCCAUGGUUGCAGAGAACUUAGUGGAGGAGGCUGAGGUCAGAAUGGGAAGAGUUUUUAAAAAGUAAAAAGGGGAGCUGAUGUGUGAGGACUGAUUGCUGUGCAUUAUUUUCUGAACUGACCUUCUUUUAGCUUCUAAUCUCAAACACAUAGCACCUGUUGUUUUCAUAUUAAAGAACAGUGUGUGUUGAAUGAAUAUAUGAAUUCUUCCCAAAUCUCUGUUCCAUGUGGUAAGAACUCAGUUAGCAUUCAAUUAUAAUGAGGACUUGGAAAGUCUGCAAGCAUUUUUGAUUAAAAAAAGAAAAAAUGCUUUUAACUGUCUUUUCAUGGUUUCAGGUAACGUCUAAGCCCAAAAAACUCAGGCCAUUUCUUGCCUGCACUGUUGCAAUCGCUUCAUAAUAAUUGUUCUUCUCCUUUAUCAACCACAGUCAUCUCUACUACAUAAAGAAGAGAGGGUGCUAAAGUGUAAAUUAUUUCAAAUCAGCAGCCUCCUCAUAAUUUGCUAGUGGUUUUCAUGUCAUUAGAAUAACAAGCAAAAUUCCUUGCUUGUGAAGCCAUAUAUGACCUUGCCCCUGUCUGCCUUACCGGCAUUAGCUCUCGUGACUCAUCCCCUUUCUCUCCACCUUGCCUUUUCCCAACCAUGCCUGCUAGUCAACUUUAGCCCUUGUGUUCUCUCUGCCAGGAACUGCAUUCUCACCAGGAAUUGCAUGACUCACUUCUUUACUUUAUUCUGAUCUCUCUGCUCAAAUGUGAUCUUUUUAGAGACACCUUUCCUAACCAUCUUAAAAAGCACCUCAUUCACUGUUGGACACCUUUCCUGCUUUUUCUUCAUAAUAUGUAUCACUUCCUGAUAUUGUGUUAGAAAACAAGCAAAUAAGUGUAUGCCUAUAUGCUGUUCCCACUAAAAUAUAAGCUCUUUCUGAACAGGAGCCUGGAUUAUUUAUGAGUAUAUCCCUAGUGCCCGAAACCUAGUAGACUGGUCCCUAUUAGGGCUUUAAUAAAUAUUGGAUUCAUUUGUUGAAUGAAUGAAUAAUUGAAUAAGAAUAUCCAGGUAGAGUAUCGGGGCAGCCCAACCUAUUUGAAGCCUGUACAACGUUUCUCUGACAUAAUGAAUGCAAUUCUUCUACAUGAUGAAAUUACAUGAGUACAUGAGGAUAAAACUAAGCACAUAGUUUAGAUUUCUUCAGGUCUCUUCCUCAGAUUAAGGAAAAACAAAGAAAUGGAGCUUAUUCCUACCUCAUUCUUACAUGAACUAAAUCCAAAAUAAAGCAUCAUCCAUAUACCAAACGCAUCCCUACCCUAGCCACUCAUGGAAUACUUUAUCUGUAAAGGGAUAGAUAGUAAAUAUUUUUGGCUUUGGGGACCAUACCGUCUGUGUCACUACCACUCAGCACUUCUGUUGAGGUGUGAAAUCAGCCUUAGACAACACAUAAACAAAUGGGCGUGGCUGUGUUCCAAUAAAAUGUUACUUAUAAAACCAGAAAAUCAGCAGAUUUAGCACACAGGCUCUAGCUUGCUGACCCUUGAAUUAGAGGGUCUUCCCCCAAAUCCUCUUCCCAAGUUAUUGACAGAAUGCCCAUAGGACCAUGGCUCCCUCACUUGGUUCUUUCAUAAAAUGAAACAAAUUCAGGGAUAGCUGGAGGGCGGAAGACCUACCUGUGACGUGACUAUUGAGCCUGAUUUCUUGCUUGAUAUCUCUUUAAACUGAAUCAGGCCUUAACUAUAAACUGUCUCUAACGUAGCAAUAACAACUGGGCCAUGUCAAAUACUCCCAAUGACAAAAUUUCUUCUUGAAGAAUGAAUGAAGAUUGCAUACAGCGGUAUGUUGGUAUGUGUUUAGCAACUGGCUCUCUUACUGAUUUCUGUAGUGUAAAUUCUCCCAUCCUAGCCAUCUGAAACUACCAGUAUGAUGUCACUUAAUGUAGAGUUGGGAAAAGACAGUCUCUUGAAUCAGUAUGAGCUGGUUCCAGCCCACUGCUGAAUACAUAUUUAAAAGCUACAAUAGCUCUGCCAUUGCAGAGUCUGCAGGAAAGAGUAGUGGACUUGAUAGGAGCAAUUGGCUGGAUAGUCUUUUGGAAUGCCAAUAAAUAAUGAAAAAGUAUGUAAAUAUAAUGCUCUAUAGAAAGCUCUCAAGUUCAGUGCUUGGUUAAAAUACAUACUCAGUAAAUGGUAGCUAUUAUCAUCUUAGUUUAAGUUAUUGCAAGCAUCAAAAUUAAAUGUUUAGCUACAGACUCAA
Molecule: long non-coding RNA, 2959 nt
Organism: Cebus imitator (Panamanian white-faced capuchin)
Lineage: Eukaryota; Metazoa; Chordata; Mammalia; Primates; Cebidae
Exons: 5
Source: RefSeq, a predicted model, not a curated record